Non-coding RNA from Sus scrofa (pig), 5376 nucleotides. The record is from RefSeq and is a predicted model, not a curated record. Lineage: Eukaryota; Metazoa; Chordata; Mammalia; Artiodactyla; Suidae.
CCACAGCUCACGGCAGUGCCGGAUCCCUGACCCACUGAGUGAGGAGGUCAGGGAUGGAAACCGCAUCCUCAUGGAUACUAGUCGGAUUCACUUCUAUUGCGCCACAGUGGGAUCUCCUGGCACUGAGUUGUUAAUUUCAGUUUUGAUGUUUUUUUAUUUCUAGAAGUUCUGUGUGUUUCUUUUUUGGUGAAUCUGGUCAUUCUUUAUAAUCUCUUGUUUUCUCUUCCUAUUCAAAAUUUUCUUUAAAUAUAUGUUGUACUUAGUUCUUGUGUAUUUACCUGAAUAACUUAUUUCCCUCCAACUGUAUAAGGAAUAAUUGACAAGUAAAAUUAUAUAUAUUUAAAGUGUACAAUGUGAUGACUUAAUAUAUAUGACGUGAUGACCCAGUUUAUCUGAAUGAUUCUAAUAUCUGAUUUUCUUGGAUUUUGAGCUGUUGUUGCAAAAGCCGCCUUCUCUCCAAGGCUGCAAAGAAAUUCCCUCUUGCUCUUGCUUAGUAGUUUUAUGGUUUAAUUUUUUACAUUUUUACUCUGACCCAUUUGGAAUUUUUCCUGAUAUAUAGUGUGGGAGAGGGAUCAGCUUAAUUUUGUUCCAGAUGGUACCCAUUUAUCUCAACACAAUUAAUUGAAUAUUCCGUCUUUUCCCUGGUGAUCUGAGAUGCUACGUUUACCAUACAUGACAUUUCUAGGUAUAAUUGGGGCUACUUCUGGACUUUCUUUUCUGUUUCACUGGUCUGUCUAGUUAUAUACUUUUUAAUAUAUUUCUCCUAUCUGGCAGAUCUUUCAUUAUCUUUAUUUUUGCAGAAAUUAUUUUCUUUAAUAAGUCAUUUGUACCGAUGAUAAAAUUCACACGUUCCCAAAGGACAUACAGUGAGACGUGCAUUUCUCUCCCAGCUCUUCUGCACACCCAGUUCUCCCCCCAGGAAAUAAUCAGUGUUAUGGUUUCUUUUCUGUGUUUCUAAAGGUAAUCUUCUCCCUUUUCAUUUCAAAAUAAGGGGUCUAGAAAGUAUAAUGCCAAAAAAGACUGGCUCACAAUAGUGGGUGCUUAUGAUAUGGAAAGACUGACAUUUACCUCUCACAUGCCCUGGCGCCCCUGGUGCCCUCAGCCAACUUUGAGUCCUGACUUGAGACUGAAGGUUGGCCUGUCUGGAUCCUGGGCCAUCGUGGGGCUGCUUUCCCCUGGGAUGACUGCUUUGUAGUUCGCACUGCCCGCCACGGCCCCUGGGUGUUUGUCUAAUUCUCGAAACCAGGCCAGUGCCUUGGAGAACAUCCCUGCACUUCGAUCCUGCAUCACCACCUGAAUGCUGCAGUGCUUGUUCUCUUGUUUAGUGAUUCAUCUUCAAUGACCUCUUUGCAAAAGAGUUACCAAGCUCUCAUCGGGCGCGAGGUGCCGAGCUGGGUGUCGGAAGGCUAAAGCAUCAUGGUUGAUUUCAGCAGACUUGUAUUGAGUGCCUCUGAUGGGCCAGCCAUCCCAGGGGACAGAGCAGUGACUCCGGGGCUGGGACCGUGCCUUCCCCACCCCUGCUUCGUCACUGUGUUGAAGGGUAAGAAGACCAGUUAGAGGAAGGAGGAAUUUCUGGAGGAGGCAGUGUUGGGAAUGGCAGAUGCCGCUAGGAAACCGGUGAGGAUGAGAGCUGGAUUUUUAGUGAUGCACGAAGAGCAUCGUGGAUCCGACCUGUCUGAGGAGAGGCAGUGGCAGGGCAGUUGCUGGCGGCUAACAGGAAGGCAUUGGGAAUGUUUCAAGAGCUGAUCUCUCUCUCCUGCCCCAGAAGGGUGUCUCAGCUAUUCUGUGAAAAGCAGAACAAGUCAGGAGCUGCCCACCUGAUUAAAGGAGCAGCCGCCCAGGAGGGGUGUGGGGGCUCCCGGCCCCUCUGAGGAUGACCAUCAGGAGUGGCUUUAAAAGAGCUGCUCACGGCGAGGAAGAGGAAGUAAGAAUGCCACAAGCAUCUCUUCUCCCAGUAUCUUCCCGUUAAAAUAUCAGCAACUACUAAAACAUAUUUAUAGCCCUCUUACUUUCUUUCCCUGCCGGAGGGCUUCUGUGUCUAGUCAACCCAGAAUAAAAUACCGUGAAAGCAAAAAGCCACUCCUCAGAACUGUAAAUACGUUCUAGCAAGAAGACAAACGCAAAGGGUCCUAGCCACAGUCAGGCUCCCUCCAUCUCCCUGCCUGUCUCCUCCCACCGCCCCCUCCAGGUCUGGUUGCUGGGAAGAUGACACAAACGCUGCUGCUUCGGCCAGGCUGCCCGGCCUUCAGCUCCGACCCUGGCUCCCCCUGACCCCCGCCCGAUCUUGCUUCCCUCAGCUUCCACCAACCCCCUUCCUUUUUAGACAGGUGCCCUCCAUCUAGUGGCCAGAAAGCAUGUGUUCCCUGGUACUUCAGGAGGCCUGGAAGGUCUCCAGGGGACAUGUGUCGAACGGGCUUGAUAGAGGACACUUUUUAAUGCCCCCCUUACAGAGGGAGGCUCCUUCUCCGCCAGAGCUCGCAUUUCUUGCCCACAGAACUUCGAGAACCCUGUGGAAACCCAGGGCCUCUGGAAAAGACUAACCUGUUGGCUUCCCUUGCUGUCAAUACCCUGAUGGAUGAUCCCUGUAGUAACUGGUAACUGAGGUCUAGGCUUUGGUUAUCGUUUCUCUGUGGUCUCCGUUCAUCUGGAUAUUGACUUCUGUAAGUCAGUAUCUGCUGUGCAUUCUGAAAGUGAAGGUCCUUCCCUUGAGUAGCGUUUUCUUUGCCCUCCCCUUUCUGCCCCAGGCAGGCCCUGGCACUCUCCCAGAUUACGGUUGUGGUGUUUCAGAGUCUGAGUUUGGGGGCAAGGAGGGCAGUGCUUUGAAUGCAGGCGGAGGCAGGGCCGUUGAAGCAGUGGAGCACCUGCCAUCCUGGAGCGUUUGCUGUGUGUCAGGCACUGGCCGAGCGCUUGACAGCCUGCAAGCACUGACUCCUCAAACCAGCUACUUUGCUUAGGAGGAGCCAGGGCCUCGGGGUGUUUAAAUGACUUCUCCAAGGUCACUCAGUGCAGCUCUUCACCUCUAGUGGAGCAUUUCCUGGAGGCUCUCACUGGAACUGAACCUUAGCGGUUAAAAGGAGAGCCGUCCACUUGGCAUCUCCUCUGCCUCCUGUGGACAUCUCAUGGGGGGCGUAUACCCGGUCCAAGGCCCGCGUCUCUGCUCCACGGAGCCGCAGGCUGGCUCAGAAGGCAGAUGUGACUCCGGAGAGGGGUGGGCCGUCCCGUACAGGGCACAUGGCCCGGGCGUGCUGUGGCAGGAGACAGCCCCGCGGCCUGGCGCACGCGAGGAGGACGGGCUCCUGCAGGAUGGGCCUGGACGGCUGCACAGCCUCUGACAGGGAGGAGGGGAAUCGAGGGCUGUAGGAAGGAGCUGAAUGGGCAGAGAGGGGUGACGGUCAUUAGAGUGACAUGUGCUGGCCUGUAGGGAAGGGGUUGUCCGGUCAGUGGGGGAGAUGUUGGCUGUAGCAGCCACAGGACCCUGAGGUCCUGGGGGAGAAGCGUGCAGGUGGCCAGAGGAGGCCUGAGGACCGCCAGGAGGAGAGGGGAGGGUGGAGCCCAGUCGGGCGUGGAGAGGGCACAAGCAGUCAGUGGCACUGAGGCGGGGCCCGAUGCCCCUUCGUGACCCUUUUCGUGAGGGGAGGUGGAAUCCUGGGUGACAGAGCUUAGGCAAAUCCCCAGACAAGUGCCCUCAGCGUGGGAAUCUACUUGGGCUCACAGGGCGGGGCCGGGCUGUUAAAGGUGACCCCCGGAGUGACAGCACCUCUGGGGAGCUUCCGUGUUGUGAUGCACUCAUACUGCUCUAGAGACAGCCAGUCCUGAAGGAACCUAGAAAGGCUUCAUGUGCUCAGAUCUUUGUCUCCGGAGGCAGGUUGAAGCAGGCUGGGACAGAUGUCAAGGCAGGAGGGUGCUUAGGCUACCCAAUUGCCAAGGCCAGUGGGAUGGCUUAUAGCGUAGUUGCCUCUUCUCAUUUAUGCUGUGUAUCGAUAAAUUGUGCACAGGAUACACUCCAACAGCGUCCUCGGGUAGAGCGAAAUGUCUCCCCAGAAUCUGGCUGCCGAAGCCACUCCCAGGAGGCAAAGCUGUGCCACAUCUCCAAGAAUAUAUGUGACAGCAGGAUAGCAAGACACCAGGCGCUGCCUUUGUCCCCACGGAGGGCCGCCCACCAAAGCACUGCUCCGCUCCGGGCUCCCCCCGACCCCCGAAAAGGCCGUCUGGGACCUGGCACCCCGUCAGGGCUCUUUAAACAGGUUUCCUCUUUACACUCUUCAGAUCAUCGCGUUUCAGCAGACCUCGCGGAUUGUUCACCCCUUCCUGAGAUGAAUUAAGAACAAAUGGCUGUGAUUUUCCAUAUCAGAGCAAACUUACAUGUUUACCAUUUCCUUGUAAAUUAGAGUCCUUGAAAGCCCGUGAAUGGCGGCGGGGUUGGGGUGUGUGUGUGGGGGGGUUAGAGCGGGUCUCUCUGGCCUUCCCCAGGCACCCGGCCUUCCGCCCGCCGACCUCCUGGGGCCCUGACUUGGGCCGCCCCUGCAGCUGGCUCUGGUCCUGCCCCUGCCUCUCUGCACCCUGCUGAGUCGGACAAAAGCCCCAGACCCCACCCCAAGGCAGAGGCUGCCUGUGGGGCCGCUCUGGGUGCUGGAUAAUAUCAAGACAGGUCUGGCAGCUCCGAGGUUAAGCAGGUUCAAGUGCAUUUUUCAAACACAUGUAAACUGUUAAGCGUAACAGCAAAGGGGAACCGACCAGGGGAGAAAAGACCAGGUUUUCCGUAUUGCUUCCCCUCUUGGCUCUCACGCACAUCCGUCCGUGUAGCCACUAUAGAUGGAGGAAGCGGAGGAGAGGAAAGUGUAGUUUUCUCCCCCUGGCAUCAGCCUGCUAGACUCUUUUGAGAGAUAAAGUAUAUGGUUGCAGCCUCUGUAACUGCAGCUUACCUUUACCGAGCGUUCUAAGCACGUCACUUGGUAACUCGUUCAUCCUCUCGCGCCAGAGGACAGGUGCCUCAGUUACCAUCCCCGUUACAGAGCGGGAAGGGAAGGGGAGGCUCAGCUGGGCUGGCCCGGCCUCACAGCCAAGUGCGCGCGAGCCGGGAUGUGCCCCCGGCCUAAUCCUGCCGCCCUCUGGGGCUGUGCCCUCCGCGGGAAAAGGACCCAGCAGUAUUUCUUUUGUGAGAAGAGACGCUUCAAACGAUUCCGUUGAAGCCUCGACUCUUUUCCUCCGCGAGGCUCGUGUUGAGCGUUUGGCGCCGUCUCCACACGUCACCUGUAAGCUGUUAGGAGGCUCCUUCUACAAACCGUGACUUCAUCUCCCUAAAGGAAGAGAGACGGAAUGCUUCAGCACACCAGAUAGGGUUCGGUCCCAGACGUUUGGGGGGAAAAAAAAAAAAAA